RNAcentral lists this ribosomal RNA (1204 nucleotides) under Vibrio crassostreae. Its description in RNAcentral is "partial 23S ribosomal RNA". It matches the Rfam family "Bacterial large subunit ribosomal RNA", at positions 173 to 1427 of the family's 2925-position model. The record is from RNAcentral. Lineage: Bacteria; Pseudomonadati; Pseudomonadota; Gammaproteobacteria; Vibrionales; Vibrionaceae.
CAGGAGGCAAACCGGGGGAACUGAAACAUCUAAGUACCCCGAGGAAGAGAAAUCAACCGAGAUUCCGAAAGUAGCGGCGAGCGAAAUUGGAUUAGCCCUUAAGCUUUUAAUGAGACAGAUGAAGGCUCUGGAAAGUGCCGCAAUAAAGGGUGAUAGCCCCGUAAUCGACAUCUCAUAAUCAGUGAAAACGAGUAGGGCGGGACACGUGAUAUCCUGUCUGAAUAUGGGGGGACCAUCCUCCAAGGCUAAAUACUACUGACUGACCGAUAGUGAACCAGUACCGUGAGGGAAAGGCGAAAAGAACCCCUGUGAGGGGAGUGAAAUAGAACCUGAAACCGUGUACGUACAAGCAGUAGGAGCACCUUCGUGGUGUGACUGCGUACCUUUUGUAUAAUGGGUCAGCGACUUAAUUUUAGUAGCAAGGUUAACCGUUUAGGGGAGCCGUAGGGAAACCGAGUCUUAACUGGGCGUACAGUUGCUAGGAUUAGACCCGAAACCAGGUGAUCUAGCCAUGGGCAGGUUGAAGGUUGAGUAACAUCAACUGGAGGACCGAACCGACUAAUGUUGAAAAAUUAGCGGAUGACUUGUGGCUAGGGGUGAAAGGCCAAUCAAACCUGGAGAUAGCUGGUUCUCCCCGAAAGCUAUUUAGGUAGCGCCUCGGACGAAUACUACUGGGGGUAGAGCACUGUUAAGGCUAGGGGGUCAUCCCGACUUACCAACCCUUUGCAAACUCCGAAUACCAGUAAGUACUAUCCGGGAGACACACGGCGGGUGCUAACGUCCGUCGUGGAGAGGGAAACAACCCAGACCGCCAGCUAAGGUCCCAAAGUAUAGCUAAGUGGGAAACGAUGUGGGAAGGCUCAGACAGCCAGGAUGUUGGCUUAGAAGCAGCCAUCAUUUAAAGAAAGCGUAAUAGCUCACUGGUCGAGUCGGCCUGCGCGGAAGAUGUAACGGGGCUAAGCUAUACACCGAAGCUGCGGCUACGUACCUUAGGGUAUGUGGGGUAGGGGAGCGUUCUGUAAGCCGUUGAAGGUGGUCUGUAAGGGCUGCUGGAGGUAUCAGAAGUGCGAAUGCUGACAUGAGUAACGAUAAAGGGAGUGAAAAACUCCCUCGCCGGAAGACCAAGGGUUCCUGUCCAACGUUAAUCGGGGCAGGGUAAGUCGACUCCUAAGGCGAGGCCGAAAGGCGUAGUCGAUGGGAAACG